GCCAGGCGCGGUGGCACGUGCCUGUAGUCCCAGCUACUCAGGAGGCUGAGGUGGGAGGAUCGCUCGAGCCCAGGAGUUCUGGGCCGUAGUGCGCUAUGCCAAUUGGGUGUCCGCACUAAGUUCGGCAUCAAUAUGGUGACCUUCCGGGAGCGGGGGACCACCAGGUUGCCUAAGGAGGGGUGAACCGGCCCAGGUCGGAAACGGAGCAGGUCAAAACUCCCGUGCUGAUCAGUAGUGGGAUCACACCUGUGAAUAGCCACUGCACUCCAGCCUGGGCAACACAGCAAGACCCCGUCUCUU
This is an unclassified non-coding RNA of Aotus nancymaae (Ma's night monkey), 300 nucleotides long. It matches the Rfam family "Metazoan signal recognition particle RNA". Rfam says of the family: The signal recognition particle (SRP) is a universally conserved ribonucleoprotein. It is involved in the co-translational targeting of proteins to membranes. The eukaryotic SRP consists of a 300-nucleotide 7S RNA and six proteins: SRPs 72, 68, 54, 19, 14, and 9. The record is from Ensembl. Lineage: Eukaryota; Metazoa; Chordata; Mammalia; Primates; Aotidae.